AUGACCAGCGUCACUGCGAGCCAGCCCCUGCUGCACGCUGCUCCCUCGGGCCAGCCCCGGCUGCCUGCCCCGCCCCGGGCCAUCGGGGGCCUCUGGGGGCGCCCUGGAGCCAGCCACCGCGUCUCGGCUCUGUCAUUUAAGAGACUUAGCAGCAGUCCCUUCCCCACUUGGUCCUGGGAGGCUGGUGACUUCAGUGAGAACAGAGAGCCGGGGCUUCAGGCAUGGGCUCUGCGGAUCAGCCCCCUUCCAAAAAGCCUGAAAAGUAAGAUGCUGCCCACCGCCCAUCACCAUCAGCCCUUCACCCCCAGGCAAGGCGCCAGAACCCCAGAAGGAGGGUGGAACGCUGCCAACUUUUUUCCAGGAGCUGGCAGGGUGGCCCAUGGUUGCCCUUGGUUCCACUCGGGCCAUCCGGGUCCCACGGCANGGUCGGGUCAAGGGCAGGACCACAGCCACCGCAGAUGGAAAGGCAGCCAGUGCCUGGGGCAGCUGGUACCAGCCUUGUGCCCUGAGCCAGAGGAAGCGGUGUCUGGGCAUGGAGAGGCAGGGAGACGUUGGGGGCAGUCUCCGUGCCCCUCACACCAGGCCCCCUCCCGCCGUCAGCCCCUGGGCCUGCCCCAGCUGUUGUGCCAUCCCUUCUCAAGAGGCACCGGCCCGCUGAGCUGAGGGGCCUUUCCCCAGGCCAGCCUCCGUGCCGGGCAGGCCGGUUCCAGUCGGGGCAGCCACCUCCUAGCCGAGCUGUCAGAGAGCAGUUCAUGUUCUCUGGGCUCCAGUGUCCUUGCUGAAAGUGUGGGCAGGCUCUGGCCCGUCCCGUGUCCAGACUCUUCCCCUUUGCUUUGCCCUGGAGUCCUCGGUCUGGAUGUGUCUGCUGCGGUAGCUCCAGGCCUGCUGACGAGGGACAGGGACCUGCUGCCCGAGGUCCUCACCGUCUGAACCCAUCCCCUCCUGCCCAGCUGGAGGUCCUGAUGCAUUAGCAUCCUCAGGCCGGUCUAAUGUCACAUCUGAUUCCCGCCCCCAGGCCCAGCACAGAGUUCCCGGGCGGAACGGGGCUGCAGAAGGCAGGACCCCAGGCUCUGGGAGGGCCUGGGGCCCCGGGCAGGCCCACUGCUGCCCCCACCCUCCGCCACACUGACUGACACAGAGCCAGGCCCCGCUCUGGGCUCCACGGGACCCGCGCCCAGCUGAGGACACUGCACGGAGCCCAGGGCUGUGUCCAGGGCUGGGGCCCACCUGGGGUGCCCGUUCUGUGGGCAUGCAGGUGGGUGAAGACCGCCUCCCUCCUGGGCACGUCUCCUGGCUGACCCAGGUGGGCGGGUCUAGGCACCUCCUUUCCCGGUUUUCCCAGCAGACUUUGCCCCGAAUGCCUGCCUGAGUUUCCUUGUGGUCUUCACUUCCUGCUCCAGACUCAGCGGGCAGCACCUCCUCGGUGGAAGCCGCGUCCGCCUGUCUCGACCCUGGACCUCCUCUCUCCCCGCCCUCCCUUCCUCCCCAGGCGAGGUCAGCCUUGGGGGAGGCAGAGCUCCUAGGGUGAGUAUCAAGACCCUAGCUCCCUGAAAGCAGGUGUCGGGGCAGGACGUCCUGGGCAGGAGGCAGGACGGGGCCAGCCAGGCCAGGGCUGAGACUCUCAGACGCUCCAGGCCCUUUUUCCUGUCUGUCUAUCUCUCUCUCUCCAUUCACAAGCAUGCCCGGCUCAGUGCCCCAUGUCUGCCUCAUCUGGUUCUACUGAAUUUCUUUUUCUUCCCUAAUAUUCAACAGAUUCAUCCUAGCUUUUACUGCCUUUUGAAAUGAAGGGAGAAGUCACUUUGUUCCCGAGGAUCCUCUAGGCUUUUAUGACCCCAACACUCGGCCUUGGACAUGGUUGCUCCAUCAGACGCAGUCUUUUCUAGCUUUGAGGACAAGCUUUGUAGGCAGGCAGGGCCCGCCAGUCCGCCGAGUGCUCAGCUCUGCAGCCCUGGGUCCUAUCCCUCCCCUCCCAGGGCCCUCUCCUCACAGGGGAGCCAGAGGCGGCCGUGGGUUCUGGCCGCAGCCCGGGGCGGGUCUGGUCUGUGCAGUGACCUUCAGGCCGUUCCCCUGAUUCGCAGCAGGUGCGGGCUGCUGGGCCCGGACAGCGCGGCCCUGAGAAUCACAUGGGAGCCGGCUUGCUCGGGGCCCCUCAGACCGUGGAGGGGAGGCUUUGGUUUGCUCAGGAGCACGCCUGUGCACAAUGUCCCAACUCCCCCAUCCCCUGUACAAAGGGCGGCCAGGGCCCGGCCUCGGGUGCCUGGGACUCCUGGUCCUUCACAAGCCACCCAGGAGGUGAGGCUGCUCGCGAGGCUCCAGCACUGGGUUGGGCGGACCCCUGAGGGUCCCCUGCAGGGUCCGGAGCCUGGGCAGGAGUGACGCUGGGGCAUGGCAUGUGUGCGUCCUGUGGGCUCAGCCCUCAGCCCUAGCCCCGUGGAGGGGACCCGCCGGCAUCGGCACAGCUCUGUCCACCACCUUGCUUCCCUGACCUGUUCAUUCUGAAGCCGCUCCGUGAGCUCGUGAGGAUGAGACCUUGGGCAUCCCUGCCCUCCAGGUAGGCAGGACGGUGUGCACAAGUUCACCAGAGGCCUGGCAGUGAGGUGACAGAUGACAGGGGUCUCACAAGGUCACCAGAAAGGCUUGACAGUGAUCUAACAGACGACAUGGGGUCUGCACACAGGUCACCCAGAGAGGCCUGGCAGCGGGGUGACAGACGACGCGGGGGCGGGNNNNNNNNNNNNNNNGGGGGUGGGUGGUCUUCGACUUGCCUGGGGUAGCCAGCUGCAGGGCAGGGCUGGGAGGCACCCUCAGUGCCUGGAGCUCUCCAUGCCUGCGGGGAGUGGCCUGGGGCACAUGGAGAGAAGGGUGGAGGUGAGGCCUCAGGCUGAGGGAGGAGCUUGCUCUCAAGUUUUGAGCAGGGCCAGGUGUGUGCCUGUUUGACAGGCACAGGUGUUUGUCUGGUUGAAGUCUCAGGAAGGACUGGAGGGAGGGCCUGGCCAGAAGGCUGCUACAUUCUUCCAAGGAAGACAGCAGGGCCUCCUGCUGGCAGCCGGCGAGGGGUGAGGGUCGAGGGAGCGGGCUGAGCUGCGGUUCCCCGGAAGCAGAGCUCACGCUGCAACACUUGCUCAAUCAGGCUGGCUGCGCAGAGACCGCCGCAGGGAGCGCCGGGGCCCUCCAGCCCAGGAUCAUGGUGCGGCUUUUCGUUUCUGAGAUCUUUAUUUCUCUCAGAAAUGUUUUGUAGUUUUGAGCAUGCUGGUUUCCAUUCCUACUGUGCUGACAGUUUCUAUCAUAAAUGAGUGUGGAAUUUUGUAGAAUGAUUUUUUUGCUUCUAUUGAGAGGAUUACAAUGGCACCCCACUCCAGUACUCCUGCCUGGAAAAUCCCAUGGANNNNNNNNNNNNNNNNNNNNNNNNNNNNNNNNNNNNNNNNNNNNNNNNNNNNNNNNNNNNNNNNNNNNNNNNNNNNNNNNNNNNNNNNNNNNNNNNNNNNNNNNNNNNNNNNNNNNNNNNNNNNNNNNNNNNNNNNNNNNNNNNNNNNNNNNNNNNNNNNNNNNNGGGUCGCACAGAGUCGGACACGACUGAAGCAGCUUAGCAGCGGCAGCAGCAGAGAGGAUUAUACGUUCUCUUUUGUUUCAUUGGAAUAGUGAAUCACACAGAUUGACAGUCUCAUGUCAGAAUACGCUCGGUAGUCCUGGGAUGCUCGUGGCCGGUGGAUUGCUUGCUCUCUGCACGGGAGGCUUCGGUCAGCUAAUUCUUCUGUUUCGGCCGUGCUGGUCCUCNNNNNNNNNNNNNNNNNNNNNNNGUCGCGAUUCCUGGGCUUAGUUGCCCCAAAGCGCUUGGGCUCUACCUCGCCAGCCAGGCCCUGAGCCGAGUCCGCUGCACUGAAAGCUGAGUUCUUAGUCUGGGCCACCAGGGAGCCCCCGCUGGCAUCUUACCCAGGAUCUCUGUGUCUGCGCUCAGGCGUGAUGUCGAUCUGUAGUUUCCUUGUAAUAGAAUCUUUGUCUGAUUUUUUUUAAAAAAAUGUUUAUCUGUGUAUUUGGCGGCACUGGGCUUUAGUGGCGGCACAUGGGCUUUUUAGUUGUGGCAUGUGGGCCUGAGCUCCCUGACCAGGAGUCAAGCCCGAGUCCCCUGCGCUGGACACAGAGUCCUAACCG
RNAcentral lists this long non-coding RNA (4149 nucleotides) under Capra hircus (goat). RNAcentral's name for it is "lncRNA (ENSCHIG00010003391.1)". The record is from RNAcentral. Lineage: Eukaryota; Metazoa; Chordata; Mammalia; Artiodactyla; Bovidae.